RNAcentral lists this non-coding RNA (297 nucleotides) under Pseudellipsoidion edaphicum. The record is from RNAcentral. Lineage: Eukaryota; Eustigmatophyceae; Eustigmatales; Neomonodontaceae.
GGGGGCUGUCAGAAAGGCUUUCGACGAUUAAAAGUAUAAUGAAUUAUAAACUAUGUUUAAUAAAAAAAAUUUUAAAAUAGAGCAAACAUCUUUUGCAUAACUUUCUUUUCUUAAAAAUUAUUUAUUAAAAUAAAUAUAGACUCUUUAUUUGACUAGAAUACUGUUUAAACUAUAAACAUGAAUUACUAGCUAAAAAUUACUUUUAUAUUAAAAAAUAAAAUAAAUUAAAUAAAAGUUUAUUAAAAUUCUUUUAGUCGGAUGUGGGUUCAAAUCCUACCAGCUCCAAAUUACAAAUCU